AGGGUUGUAGCUCAGUGGUGGAGCAGCUGCUUUGAAUGCAGAAGGUCCCAAUUCAAUCACUGGCAUCUCCA
Podarcis lilfordi (Lilford's wall lizard) is the source of this 71-nucleotide non-coding RNA. The record is from the annotation of a GenBank genome assembly. NCBI's taxonomy places the organism in Eukaryota, Metazoa, Chordata, Lepidosauria, Squamata, Lacertidae.